UGCCAGCCGCCGCGGUAAUACGAAGGGUGCAAGCGUUACUCGGAUUUAUUGGGCGUAAAGCGCGCGUAGGCGGAAUGGCAAGUCAGAUGUGAAAUCUCGGGGCUCAACCCCGAAACUGCGUCUGAAACUGCUACUCUAGAAUCGUGGAGAGGGAAGGGGAAUUUCUCAUGUAGGGGUAAAAUCCGUAGAGAUGAGAAGGAACACCAGAGGCGAAGGCGCCUUCCUGGACACGUAUUGACGCUGUGGCGCGAAAGCGUGGGGAGCAAACAGGAUUAGAUA
This 279-nucleotide ribosomal RNA is filed under the name uncultured bacterium. Its description in RNAcentral is "partial 16S ribosomal RNA". It matches the Rfam family "Bacterial small subunit ribosomal RNA", at positions 506 to 784 of the family's 1533-position model. The record is from RNAcentral.